UCAGUGAGCAAACCGAUCUUUAAUUUGUUGGCCUGGAAGGCUCGCUUGCUCUGUGGGCAAGGACCAGUUAUUUACACAGAAUCAUUGUACAGUAUUUACAGGAAGAGGCCAGACACAGCAUCCGUGUGGAUAGUUAAAGAAAGGGCAAGAACCACGUGGGGAAGGAAACUCUAAUAUCAAAGUAAACGCAGAAACUGAAAAGUGUGGAAGACCAGAGGAGCGUCUGUCUGAAUCAGAAGACAGUCUGCUGCGGCAGACCCAAGGAAGAAGCCUCAAGUAGCCUGCAGAGGUGUGGGGAAGGGUGUGCUGGGCAUGAAAUAAAGCCUUGAAAAGUAUGCAGUAUGGAAGAGAAAAAAUAUGCUACCUGCUGUUUCAGAGAAAAGAAUACAAUUAGCACUUUAUCAUCCAUAACUUAUGCUCCCCCAUCAAAGAGCAAUCCCCACUUCUUUUAAAAGUAUCUGGACAAGAGACUAAGAAAGAGAAUUCUGUCUCAAGGUAACAAACUUUUAACUAGACUCAAGACAUCUAGAUAAAGGGAAGACAGCAAAGAGGUUCUGGCAAUGGAACUGAAGGCCAACCGCAGAGGUGCGCUGGAGUCUUCCCAUGGGCAUCGCCUUCCUGACCUGUCUUUGGCAGGUUCUUCCCCUCAUCCCUAAGUGUCUGGAUUUUAACUUCAGACAAGGAGUUCAUUGGAACGAGGCUGGCACACGGGGGACAGGCUCAGCUCCCAUCUCAUCAAUUUGGGUUCCC
This 750-nucleotide long non-coding RNA is filed under the name Rattus norvegicus (Norway rat). Its description in RNAcentral is "long non-coding RNA NONRATT016687". Lineage: Eukaryota; Metazoa; Chordata; Mammalia; Rodentia; Muridae. The record is from RNAcentral.